AAAACCACCCCGUUUCAGCCCUCAGCCUCAGGGCUGAGAUUCAGGCUCAGGUCUAGGGGUUGGGGAAUAUUAAAGUUUACAAGUACAAUCUUACUCCAUCCAUACACACACAUGGAGAAGCCAGGAGAGGACGCGGCCAGAGAUGGGCUCCUGCCCUUGAACCCCUGCUGGGGUGGAAGCAGGUGCACAAUGCUUCUUUGAGUAUCUCCGUGUCUGUGGCUGAUAUCCAGAUGCAAGGCUUCUUCCGGGCAUCCCUGGGAAUGGGAGUGCAUAGACAUACUGGUCAAAUUACAGCACAGCCUCUACACCUUUACUGAAGAUGGAAAACUGUUUUCCAAAGUUGACUUGCCUAACAUGAUGUAACUAUCAUGCAAAAAUAAAAAUAAAAUUAAGAAUAAAAAUUUAAAAAUGAAAAAAAAAAAAAAAA
This 427-nucleotide long non-coding RNA is filed under the name Homo sapiens (human). RNAcentral's name for it is "uncharacterized LOC149684 (LOC149684)". The record is from RNAcentral. Lineage: Eukaryota; Metazoa; Chordata; Mammalia; Primates; Hominidae.